This is a long non-coding RNA of Wyeomyia smithii (pitcher-plant mosquito), 4091 nucleotides long. RefSeq lists it as uncharacterized. Lineage: Eukaryota; Metazoa; Arthropoda; Insecta; Diptera; Culicidae. The record is from RefSeq and is a predicted model, not a curated record. The transcript has 3 exons.
AAGCAUAAUAUAUGUUGUACAGAGUUAUGCGCUCGAAUCAAUUCAAUCAUUAAAAAAAAACCUAAAUAAAUCCACCUAGCGGUCAGACCCAGCCUUUCUCAUUCAAACUUUUAUUUGCAAAAAUAGAUUUACAUGAACGCUUCAAUCCAAUAAAUGUAUAUUCACUCUUAAGGUUCUAAAAUAUUGAUGUUGUAAUCUAUACAUAUAAAAAUUUAGUCCGGUCUCUCUGUCUGUCUGAUCCAUAUAGGCUCGAAAACUACCGAACCGAUCGGCGUGAAACUUUGUAUGUAGGGGUUUUUGGUGCCUAUAAAGGUUCCUAUGAGAGUUUGAGACCCCUCCUUCUUCUGGAAGGGAGGGGUCCCAUACAAAUGAAACAAAUUUCUGCCCAUCUCGAAAACUAAUCAACUAAAUGGAACCAAAUUUGGCAGGUAAAUGUUUUUAGAGGUAAAAUAUGUGCAUCAUGGUUUGACACCCCUCCCUCUUCUAUAAGGGAGAGGUACCAUACAAAUGAAACACAAUUUUCGCAUAGCUCAAGAACCAAUCAAGAAAAAACAACCAAAUUUGGUAUGAGAAUGUUUUGAGAGGUAACAAAUAUGUCCAUAAUGGUUCGACGCCCCUCCCUCUUCUGGAAGCACAUGUUUCUGCACAAAUUUCUGCACAUCUCGCAAAUUAAUCAACUAAAUGGAACCAUAUUUUGUGAUUGAAAGUUUUAGUGGUAACAAAUAUGUUCCAUAAUUGACCUCAGGUAACAUUUUGGAUUGUAAGAUGGCAACAUACGGUUUCUGGAAAACAGCCAGAAAUGGCCGAUUUCCACCCAAUAUAAUAAUAUGCGGAUCUAGAAUGAUACACAGGAGCUCAAAUCCACCACAGAUACCAUUUUGAAUUCUAAGAUGGCGACUCCCGGUUUAUGAAAAACAGCUGAAAAUGACCAAAUACUAUCCAAUAUGAGUAUCUCCGGAGCCAGAAUGUUGCAAGAAGCUAAAAGUUGACUUCAGACACCAUUAUGAAUUGUAGGAUGGCAACUUCUGGUUUCUGGAAAACAGCCAAAAAUGGCCGAUUUCCGCCUAACAUGAGUAUCUCCGGAACUAAAAUGAUACACAGCAGCUGAAAUCGAUCACAGACCCUGGGUGCUAGGUUGGCGACUUCCGGUUCCUGGGAAACAGCCGAAAAUGAUCGAAUAACACCCAUUAUGGGUGUUUCUUCAAUCAGAAUGACGCUCAGAGGCCAGAAAUGAUCUUAAGUACCAUUUUGAAAUCCAAGACGGCGACUUCCGGUUUGUGAAAAACAGCCUAAAAUAACCAAUCAGGCACCAUUUUGAAUUGCUGGCAACUUCUAGGAAACAGUCGAAAAUGACAGAAUAAUACUCAAUAUAUCGAGAUGAUGCAUAGAAACCAACCAUUGAAUCUGGACACCAUUUUGAAUUAAAAGACGACCACUUUAAGUUUCUGGAAAACAACCAAAAUAACUAAAAACCUCCCAAUAUGGGUAUUUCCGGUGUCAGAUUGAUGCCAGAAAAUCUGCUGAAAAUGACCGAAUACCGCCCAAUAUGAAUAUAUUCAGAAUUAAGGCGAUGUACAGAAGCCAAAAGUCGAGGAUGUUGUCAUUUCGAUAAAACCAAUCAUUUCAAACGAUUUGUUGUUUGACUUUGAUCAUAUCCUAUGGCCGAUUCUUCGUGCAUUUGCAGACUUUAAACACAUCGCAAGGAAUCAACGAAUUUGGAACGUUCAAAUAGUACGAUACCACAUUUAAAUUAUAUUGAGGUCACAAAUAUCGAUCAAAGCAGGUAUCGUUUCUAAUAGUUUUUGAAUUUCUUUUCUUUUCAUAACUUUUGAGCCACAUAUCAAAUGCUAUGAAAUUUGUAAUUUGUAAGUUUGAGAGAUGACUCGUUCGUAUGACACUAGUUAUGUUCAAAUAAGUUUUGUAAUCUUUGAAAUAAUAGACUUUCGUUGUUUUAUCAACAAUUUAAUACAUAACGGUUGCUUAAUUCCGAUUAUAAUCAAAUGAAAUAGGAGCGUAUAGGGCAGCCAAACUUUGAAACCACGUGUUCAGUCAUAAGUGCACGCUUAACUAGUCCGCUCGUCUGAUAAUAAUGUUGAUCAAAUCGGUUGUGUAGUUUCUGAGAUAAUGAAGUUUCGUGAUUUUCACAUUUUGGUACAUUACAGACGAAGUUACUGUUCGAUUACAGUAAAAUUCAAUGGGGUGUUAUGAGGCAGCUAGACUUAUCAAUUGACACUAAUUUUGUGGAAAUCGGUUCAGCCAUCCCUGAGAAAAGUGAGUGAGUCCAAGUAGUCUUCGGAAUAUGUUCCUUUUCAUAGCUGGAUUUCACAUUUUUAAACAUAACAGUCAAAGUAAUAGUCCGAUUGCAAAACAAAUCAAUAGGGUCUUAUGGGACAACAAGACCUUCCAUUUGACACUGAUUUUAUGAAAAUCGGCCCAGCCAUCUUUGAGAUACACGAGUGAGAUUAAACUGUCUUCAGAACACGUUUCUUUUCGUAACUUUUGAACCACAAGUUCAAUCUUUAUAAAAUUCAAAAGUUAAGGGUUGUCCAGGUAGCUCGUUCAUUUGAAACCAAUUUUGUUCAAAUCGGUUGUGUGGUUUUAGAGAUAAUGAUGUUUUAUGAUUUUUACAUUUUGAUACAUAACCUCUAAACUAAAAAUCCUAUUACAAUAAAAUUUAAUAGGGUCUUAUGGAACAACAAGACCUUUCAUUUGAAAUUAAUUUCUUGACAAUCGGUCCAGCCAUCUCUGAGAAAAGUGAGUAAGAAAAAAAAAGUUGCACAUACACACACACACACACAUACACACACACAUACAGAAAAUGCUCAGCUCGUCGAGCUGAGUCGAGUGAUAUAUGCCAUUCGGCCCUUUGGAGCACUUUUAUAUCUUCGGUUUUGCAAGUGAUUGCUAUACCUUUCUAGGAGAAAGGCAAAAAGGUCAGCUUAGCUUUGUAAAUGUUCAAGAAUAGGGUUAACAUUUUAUCUCAUUUGCACAUACGUUGAGAUGUUAAUCAUUAAAUAAUCGCGCGAUGUCAGCUGCCUGCAAGAAACACCGCCGUUCGAAAUCGGCAAGAAUAAUAACAACACAUAAACACACUGCCGCUGAACACCGAUACUGUAUGCACGUAUGAACACUGCUUUUUUCGUACAACAUAUAUUAUGCUUCGUUCGUCAUGCUUACACUUCUGUGUGAACAAACCUUCAAAAACAUAGAUGAUACUAGCGCCACUGUCUUUCACGGCAGCUUCAGGAAACAAGCCCGAUGCCACCGGGUUGGUUGAAGCUGAAAAAUUUUACAGUGCGCUUCGGGCAGCACGGCAGGUCAAAACUGGGUCAAAUCGAGCGAAUUGGCCUUGACACAAGUAAAAGAGAUUUUUAAGGCUGUUUGCACCUACGCGAGUUUUCAUAUGCAAUUGUCAAUUUAUAUGUGAAAACAAAAGCAAAAAUAUUUCCUUCUUUCACUUUCGCAAGUAAAAACCAAACCAAUAUCAACAGAGUCGUCAGGGCCAAUAAAGAAGGGGUUUGACAGCAGUUAGUGCGCUUCCAGGUCAAAACGAGGUGAGCUGGUGGAAUAAAGAAAUUCGCUAUAACUUAUAACGAUUCAAAUGUUUAUCGUACUUUUUCAGUUCCUCAACUCAUAAUCUUCGAUACGCAUGGGACGUUUUGUUCCACGUUUUUGACGUCCGAUCACUUCAUUUGGAGUUUUCUUCCAAGCUCCAGAAAUUGGUGCACUAGCACAAGCUCGAAAACUGGAAGAAGAUGUAGCCCAAUCUAAAAACGGGCUAUAGGAUUGUGAAGCGCAUCAAUACGGAAUUGAAAGACCGAUUACAAGAAACGUAGUUUAUUGUUCAAGGUUUAAGUUUAGAAUGACAAUGAUAGUGAACCAGAGUAAUAUAUAACGAGCCGAAGAAUUUUGCCGGAACGCUGCAACAGGAAGACUCUUACCCAGCCAACAAUUUGGUCCGUAUAUAUCAGUUGUUGUUGAGAUAUAAGCAGCCUUGUACAAUCUGAUAAAGUUGUAUAUAACGUUCUAUAUGAGCUUAUAAGUACCAAAGUGGAGACAAUAUACGUACCAAAAUGGUUCGCGCAGUUAAA